GUGCCAGUAGCCGCGGUAAUACGAAAGGGGCUAGCGUUGUUCGGAGUUACUGGGCGUAAAGCGCGCGUAGGCGGCCUUGCAAGUUGGGGGUGAAAUCCCGGAGCUCAACUCCGGAACUGCCUUCAAAACUGCAAAGCUAGAGGAUGCGAGAGGUGAGCGGAAUUCCGAGUGUAGAGGUGAAAUUCGUAGAUAUUCGGAAGAACACCAGUGGCGAAGGCGGCUCACUGGCGCAUUUCUGACGCUGAGGCGCGAAAGCGUGGGGAGCAAACAGGAUUAGAUACCCUGGUAGUCCACGCCGUAAACGAUGAGGGCUAGUUGUCGGGCGGCUUGCCAUUCGGUGACGCAGCUAACGCAUUAAGCCCUCCGCCUGGGGAGUACGGUCGCAAGAUUAAAACUUAAAGGAAUUGACGGGG
Molecule: ribosomal RNA, 413 nt
Filed under: uncultured prokaryote
Description: bacterial SSU rRNA
Rfam family: Bacterial small subunit ribosomal RNA
Source: RNAcentral